Molecule: ribosomal RNA, 460 nt
Filed under: uncultured bacterium
Lineage: Bacteria
Description: partial 16S ribosomal RNA
Rfam family: Bacterial small subunit ribosomal RNA
Source: RNAcentral
CCUACGGGAGGCUGCAGUGAGGAAUAUUGGUCAAUGGACGAGAGUCUGAACCAGCCAAGUAGCGUGAAGGAUGACUGCCCUAUGGGUUGUAAACUUCUUUUAUAAAGGAAUAAAACGAGGCACGUGUGCCUUUUUGCAUGUACUUUAUGAAUAAGGAUCGGCUAACUCCGUGCCAGCAGCCGCGGUAAUACGGAGGAUCCGAGCGUUAUCCGGAUUUAUUGGGUUUAAAGGGAGCGUAGAUGGGUUGUUAAGUCAGUUGUGAAAGUUUGCGGCACAACCGUAAAAUUGAAAUUGAUACUGGCAGUCGUGAGUACAGUUGAGGUAGGCGGAAUUCGUGGUGUAGCGGUGAAAUGCUUAGAUAUCACGAAGAACCCCGAUUGCGAAGGCAGCUUACUAAACUGUGACUGACAUUGAUGCUCGAAAGUGUGGGUAUCAAACAGGAUUAGAUACCCGAGUAGUC